Molecule: ribosomal RNA, 530 nt
Filed under: uncultured bacterium
Lineage: Bacteria
Description: partial 16S ribosomal RNA
Rfam family: Bacterial small subunit ribosomal RNA
Source: RNAcentral
UGGGGAAUAUUGCACAAUGGGCGCAAGCCUGAUGCAGCCAUGCCGCGUGUGUGAAGAAGGCCUUCGGGUUGUAAAGCACUUUCAGCGAGGAGGAAGGUGGUGAGCUUAAUACGCUCAUCAAUUGACGUUACUCGCAGAAGAAGCACCGGCUAACUCCGUGCCAGCAGCCGCGGUAAUACGGAGGGUGCAAGCGUUAAUCGGAAUUACUGGGCGUAAAGCGCACGCAGGCGGUUUGUUAAGUCAGAUGUGAAAUCCCCGGGCUCAACCUGGGAACUGCAUUUGAAACUGGCAAGCUAGAGUCUCGUAGAGGGGGGUAGAAUUUCCAGGUGUAGCGGUGAAAUGCGUAGAGAUCUGGAGGAAUACCGGUGGCGAAGGCGGCCCCCCUGGACGAAGACUGACGCUCAGGUGCGAAAGCGUGGGGCAGCAAACAGGAUUAGAUACCCUGGUAGUCCACGCUGUAAAACGAUGUCGAUUUGGAGGUUGUGCCCUUGAGGCGUGGCUUCCGGAGCUAACGCGUUAAAUCGACCGCC